GUGCCAGCAGCCGCGGUAAUACCGGCAGCCCGAGUGAUGGCCGAUCUUAUUGGGCCUAAAGCGUCCGUAGCUGGGUCUGAAAGUCCAUCGGGAAAUCCACUCGCUCAACGAGUGGCCGUCCGGUGGAAACUCCACACCUUGGGACCGGAAGGCUCGAAGGGUACGGCCGGGGUAGGAGUGAAAUCCUGUAAUCCCGUCCGGACCACCGAUGGCGAAAGCACUUCGAGAAAACGGAUCCGACAGUGAGGGACGAAAGAAAGGAUCGCGAACCGGAUAAGAAACCCGUGUAGUCC
This 293-nucleotide ribosomal RNA is filed under the name uncultured bacterium. Its description in RNAcentral is "partial 16S ribosomal RNA". It matches the Rfam family "Archaeal small subunit ribosomal RNA", at positions 455 to 747 of the family's 1478-position model. The record is from RNAcentral.